RNAcentral lists this ribosomal RNA (119 nucleotides) under Triticum aestivum (bread wheat). Lineage: Eukaryota; Viridiplantae; Streptophyta; Magnoliopsida; Poales; Poaceae. The record is from RNAcentral.
GGAUGCGAUCAUACCAGCACUAAAGCGCCGGAUCCCAUCAGAACUCUGAAGUUAAGCGUGCUUGGGCGAGAGUAGUACUAGGAUGGGUGACCUCCUGGGAAGUCCUCGUGUUCCAUUCC